UGACCCUACGGGGGGCAGCAGUGGGGAAUAUUGCGCAAUGGGGGCAACCCUGACGCAGCAACGCCGCGUGCAGGAAGAAGGUCUUCGGAUUGUAAACUGUUGUCGCAAGGGAAGAAGACAGUGACGGUACCUUGUGAGAAAGUCACGGCUAACUACGUGCCAGCAGCCGCGGUAAUACGUAGGUGGCAAGCGUUAUCCGGAUUUACUGGGUGUAAAGGGCGUGUAGGCGGGACUGCAAGUCAGAUGUGAAAACCACGGGCUCAACCUGUGGCCUGCAUUUGAAACUGUAGUUCUUGAGUACUGGG
RNAcentral lists this ribosomal RNA (305 nucleotides) under uncultured bacterium. RNAcentral describes it as "bacterial SSU rRNA". It matches the Rfam family "Bacterial small subunit ribosomal RNA", at positions 333 to 653 of the family's 1533-position model. The record is from RNAcentral.